This 425-nucleotide unclassified non-coding RNA is filed under the name soil metagenome. RNAcentral's name for it is "partial contains 5.8S ribosomal RNA, internal transcribed spacer 2, and large subunit ribosomal RNA". The stretch from base 1 to 120 matches the Rfam family "5.8S ribosomal RNA", at positions 35 to 154 of the family's 154-position model. The record is from RNAcentral.
GAUGAAGAACGCAGCGAAAUGCGAUAAGUAGUGUGAAUUGCAGAAUUCCGUGAAUCAUCGAAUCUUUGAACGCACAUUGCGCCUUCUGGUAUUCCGGAAGGCAUGCCUGUUCGAGAGUCAUUAACAACCGUUUCGAUCCCUUUCUUUCAGAAAUUACAAAGAGGAAAAGGGUUUGGUUAUGGUGGAUGAGGGAAAGGGAGCGUUUAGCCUGUAAAAAAAGAGGCUGUGUUCCGCCUCCCCCCCAAAAUUGUACAGGCGGUCGUGUGCGCCCACGCAUCGAGGUGUUGUAAAAGCUGCCACGGCACUUUUCACCUGUGCAGUGCGAGAUUGGCCAGCCGGUUUAAAAACCCCUCCAAACAAUCAAAGGUUGACCUCGGAUCAGGUAGGGAUACCCGCUGAACUUAAGCAUAUCAAUAAGCGGAGGA